RNAcentral lists this ribosomal RNA (453 nucleotides) under uncultured Proteiniphilum sp. RNAcentral describes it as "partial 16S ribosomal RNA". It matches the Rfam family "Bacterial small subunit ribosomal RNA", at positions 341 to 792 of the family's 1533-position model. Lineage: Bacteria; Pseudomonadati; Bacteroidota; Bacteroidia; Bacteroidales; Dysgonomonadaceae. The record is from RNAcentral.
ACGGAAGGCAGCAGUGAGGAAUAUUGGUCAAUGGGCGGAAGCCUGAACCAGCCAAGUCGCGUGAAGGAAGACGGUAUUAUGUAUUGUAAACUUCUUUAGGCGCAGAGAAAUAAGCUCCACGCGUGGAGUGAUGCUAGUAUGCGCAGAAUAAGGAUCGGCUAACUCCGUGCCAGCAGCCGCGGUAAUACGGAGGAUCCGAGCGUUAUCCGGAUUUAUUGGGUUUAAAGGGUGCGCAGGCGGUUUGUUAAGUCAGGGGUAAAAUAGUGGAGCUCAACUCCAUCCCGCCGUUGAUACUGGCAGACUUGAUUGCGGUCGAGGUUGGCGGAAUUCGCCGUGUAGCGGUGAAAUGCAUAGAUAUGGCGAAGAACUCCGAUUGCGUAGGCAGCUGACCAGGCCGUAAAUGACGCUCAUGCACGAAAGUGCGGGGAUCGAACAGGAUUAGAUACCCUGGUA